UUAAGCGACUAAGCGUACACGGUGGAUGCCCUGGCAGUCAGAGGCGAUGAAGGACGUGCUAAUCUGCGAAAAGCGUCGGUAAGGUGAUAUGAACCGUUACAGCCGGCGAUGUCCGAAUGGGGAAACCCAGUGCAAUUCGUUGCACUAUCGUUAACUGAAUACAUAGGUUAACGAGGCGAACCGGGGGAACUGAAACAUCUAAGUACCCCGAGGAAAAGAAAUCAACCGAGAUUCCCCCAGUAGCGGCGAGCGAACGGGGAGCAGCCCAGAGUCUGAAUCAGCUUGUGUGUUAGUGGAACGGUCUGGAAAGUCCGACGGUACAGGGUGAUAGUCCCGUACACCAAAAUGCACAGGCUGUGAACUCGAAGAGUAGGGCGGGACACGUGGUAUCCUGUCUGAAUAUGGGGGGACCAUCCUCCAAGGCUAAAUACUCCUGACUGACCGAUAGUGAACCAGUACCGUGAGGGAAAGGCGAAAAGAACCCCGGCGAGGGGAGUGAAAAAGAACCUGAAACCGUGUACGUACAAGCAGUGGGAGCACCUUCGGGUGUGACUGCGUACCUUUUGUAUAAUGGGUCAGCGACUUAUAUUCUGUAGCAAGGUUAACCGUAUAGGGGAGCCGCAGGGAAACCGAGUCUUAACUGGGCGUUAAGUUGCAGGGUAUAGACCCGAAACCCGGUGAUCUAGCCAUGGGCAGGUUGAAGGUUGGGUAACACUAACUGGAGGACCGAACCGACUAAUGUUGAAAAAUUAGCGGAUGACUUGUGGCUGGGGGUGAAAGGCCAAUCAAACCGGGAGAUAGCUGGUUCUCCCCGAAAGCUAUUUAGGUAGCGCCUCGUGAAUUCAUCUUCGGGGGUAGAGCACUGUUUCGGCUAGGGGGUCAUCCCGACUUACCAACCCGAUGCAAACUACGAAUACCGAAGAAUGUUAUCACGGGAGACACACGGCGGGUGCUAACGUCCGUCGUGAAGAGGGAAACAACCCAGACCGCCAGCUAAGGUCCCAAAGUCACAGUUAAGUGGGAAACGAUGUGGGAAGGCACAGACAGCCAGGAUGUUGGCUUAGAAGCAGCCAUCAUUUAAAGAAAGCGUAAUAGCUCACUGGUCGAGUCGGCCUGCGCGGAAGAUGUAACGGGGCUAAACUGUGCACCGAAGCUGCGGCAGCGACACUAUGUGUUGUUGGGUAGGGGAGCGUUCUGUAAGCCUGCGAAGGUGGCCUGUGAGGGUUGCUGGAGGUAUCAGAAGUGCGAAUGCUGACAUAAGUAACGAUAAUGCGGGUGAAAAGCCCGCACGCCGGAAGACCAAGGGUUCCUGUCCAACGUUAAUCGGGGCAGGGUGAGUCGACCCCUAAGGCGAGGCCGAAAGGCGUAGUCGAUGGGAAACAGGUUAAUAUUCCUGUACUUGGUGUUACUGCGAAGGGGGGACGGAGAAGGCUAUGUUAGCCGGGCGACGGUUGUCCCGGUUUAAGCAUGUAGGCGGAGGUUCCAGGUAAAUCCGGUACCUUAUUAACGCUGAGGUGUGAUGACGAGGCACUACGGUGCUGAAGUAACAAAUGCCCUGCUUCCAGGAAAAGCCUCUAAGCAUCAGGUAACAUUGAAUCGUACCCCAAACCGACACAGGUGGUCAGGUAGAGAAUACCAAGGCGCUUGAGAGAACUCGGGUGAAGGAACUAGGCAAAAUGGUGCCGUAACUUCGGGAGAAGGCACGCUGAUAUGUAGGUGAAGCCCCUGCGGGUGGAGCUGAAAUCAGUCGAAGAUACCAGCUGGCUGCAACUGUUUAUUAAAAACACAGCACUGUGCAAACACGAAAGUGGACGUAUACGGUGUGACGCCUGCCCGGUGCCGGAAGGUUAAUUGAUGGGGUUAUCCGUAAGGAGAAGCUCUUGAUCGAAGCCCCGGUAAACGGCGGCCGUAACUAUAACGGUCCUAAGGUAGCGAAAUUCCUUGUCGGGUAAGUUCCGACCUGCACGAAUGGCGUAAUGAUGGCCAGGCUGUCUCCACCCGAGACUCAGUGAAAUUGAACUCGCUGUGAAGAUGCAGUGUACCCGCGGCAAGACGGAAAGACCCCGUGAACCUUUACUAUAGCUUGACACUGAACAUUGAGCCUUGAUGUGUAGGAUAGGUGGGAGGCUUUGAAGCGUGGACGCCAGUCUGCGUGGAGCCAACCUUGAAAUACCACCCUUUAAUGUUUGAUGUUCUAACGUUGGCCCCUUAUCGGGGUUGCGGACAGUGUCUGGUGGGUAGUUUGACUGGGGCGGUCUCCUCCCAAAGAGUAACGGAGGAGCACGAAGGUUAGCUAAUCCUGGUCGGACAUCAGGAGGUUAGUGCAAUGGCAUAAGCUAGCUUGACUGCGAGCGUGACGGCGCGAGCAGGUGCGAAAGCAGGUCAUAGUGAUCCGGUGGUUCUGAAUGGAAGGGCCAUCGCUCAACGGAUAAAAGGUACUCCGGGGAUAACAGGCUGAUACCGCCCAAGAGUUCAUAUCGACGGCGGUGUUUGGCACCUCGAUGUCGGCUCAUCACAUCCUGGGGCUGAAGUAGGUCCCAAGGGUAUGGCUGUUCGCCAUUUAAAGUGGUACGCGAGCUGGGUUUAGAACGUCGUGAGACAGUUCGGUCCCUAUCUGCCGUGGGCGCUGGAGAAUUGAGGGGGGCUGCUCCUAGUACGAGAGGACCGGAGUGGACGCAUCACUGGUGUUCGGGUUGUCAUGCCAAUGGCAUUGCCCGGUAGCUAAAUGCGGAAGAGAUAAGUGCUGAAAGCAUCUAAGCACGAAACUUGCCCCGAGAUGAGUUCUCCCUGACUCCUUGAGAGUCCUGAAGGAACGUUAAAGACGAUGACGUUGAUAGGUCGGGUGUGUAAGCGUAGCGAUACGUUGAGCUAACCGAUACUAAUGAACCGUGAGGCUUAACCUU
This 2903-nucleotide ribosomal RNA is filed under the name Klebsiella aerogenes UCI 16. RNAcentral's name for it is "bacterial LSU rRNA". It matches the Rfam family "Bacterial large subunit ribosomal RNA". The record is from RNAcentral. Lineage: Bacteria; Pseudomonadati; Pseudomonadota; Gammaproteobacteria; Enterobacterales; Enterobacteriaceae.